Molecule: ribosomal RNA, 464 nt
Filed under: uncultured bacterium
Lineage: Bacteria
Description: partial 16S ribosomal RNA
Rfam family: Bacterial small subunit ribosomal RNA
Source: RNAcentral
CUACGGGAGGCACCAGUGAGGAAUUUUGCGCAAUGGGGGAAACCCUGACGCAGCAACGCCGCGUGAGCGAAGAAGGCCCUCGGGUCGUAAAGCUCUGUCAAGUGGGAAAAAAAUCUUUUGAUGAAUAGACAAGAGACUUGAUGGUACCACUGGAGGAAGCACCGGCUAACUCCGUGCCAGCAGCCGCGGUAAUACGGAGGGUGCAAGCGUUGUUCGGAAUUACUGGGCGUAAAGAGCGUGUAGGCGGUUUGACAAGUCAGAUGUGAAAGCCCUGGGCUCAACCUGGGAAGGGCAUUUGAAACUGUUUGACUAGAGUAUGGGAGAGGAGAUUGGAAUUCCUGGUGUAGAGGUGAAAUUCGUAGAUAUCAGGAGGAACACCCGUGGCGAAGGCGAUUCUCUGGACCAAUACUGACGCUGAGACGCGAAAGCGUGGGGAGCAAACAGGAUUAGAUACCCGGGUAGUC